This 497-nucleotide ribosomal RNA is filed under the name uncultured bacterium. RNAcentral describes it as "partial 16S ribosomal RNA". It matches the Rfam family "Bacterial small subunit ribosomal RNA", at positions 28 to 507 of the family's 1533-position model. The record is from RNAcentral.
GAUGAACGCUGGCGGCGUGCCUAAUACAUGCAAGUCGAGCGAACGGACGCGACGCUUGCUUCUCUGAUGUUAGCGGCGGGCGGGUGAGUAACACGUGGAUCACCUCCUUAUCUGACUGGGAUAACUUCGGAACACCGGAUCUAAUCCCGGAUAAUAUUUUGAACCGCAUGGUUCAAAGGUGAAAGACGGUCUUGCUGUCACUUAUAGAUGGUUCCGCGCUGCAUUAGCUAGUUGGUAAGGUAACGGCUUACCAAGGGAACGAUGCAUAGCCGACCUGAGAGGGUGAUCGGCCACACGGGAACUGAGACACGGUCCAGACUCCUACGGGAGGCAGCAGUAGGGAAUCGUCCGCAAUGGGCGAAAGCCUGACGGAGCAACGCCGCGUGAGUGAUGAAGGUCUUCGGAUCGUAAAACUCUGUUAUUAGGGAAGAACAUAUGUGUAAGUAACUGUGCACAUCUUGACGGUACCUAAUCAGAAAGCAACGGCUAACUACGUG